GAUGAACGCUGGCGGCGUGCUUAACACAUGCAAGUCGAACGAUGAAGCCCAGCUUGCUGGGUGGAUUAGUGGCGAACGGGUGAGUAACACGUGAGUAACCUGCCCUUAACUCUGGGAUAAGCCUGGGAAACUGGGUCUAAUACCGGAUAGGAGCGUCCACCGCAUGGUGGGUGUUGGAAAGAUUUAUCGGUUUUGGAUGGACUCGCGGCCUAUCAGCUUGUUGGUGAGGUAAUGGCUCACCAAGGCGACGACGGGUAGCCGGCCUGAGAGGGUGACCGGCCCACAGGGGGAGAGAGACACGCCCGAGCCCCCUCGGGGGGGAAGAGGGGGGAAAUAUUGAAAAGGGGGCGAAGGCUGGAGGAGGGGCCGCGGGGGGGGGAAGGCCGGCUUUGGGUUUGAAAACCUUUUCAAGUGGGAAAAAGGAGAAGGGGACGGACCCGGAAAAGGAAGCCCGGGCAAACUAGG
This 465-nucleotide ribosomal RNA is filed under the name uncultured bacterium. Its description in RNAcentral is "partial 16S ribosomal RNA". It matches the Rfam family "Bacterial small subunit ribosomal RNA", at positions 28 to 505 of the family's 1533-position model. The record is from RNAcentral.